UAAAAAGCGCUGCACUUUCUCUCUUGACAAUCCCGACACCUGAGUGCUUCCUACGUAUGACAGUUAGCACAUUCUGGUUGCUCAGUGGCCUGUGAGAAAUGAGCCUCUUCUCAAUUUAGUUCCUAUCAUCAGACAAGCGGUACACACAAUAAAAAACACACCUUGACAGUCAGCCCCCAAAGUAGCCCUAGGGACCGAGGGUCUGGACUUCCCUUUUUCUCAUACACAAACCCCAUAAAAGUGAUAUAAUUUAUUGGGCUGGAUUCUGCUCCCUACUACCUUCAAGUAAAUCAGGAUAACUCCACUGAGGUCAAAGAGUCACUCUGGUUCAGUGUCAAAGCACAGAAUAGCCUAGGGGAGCAGAGCCUUUCCAGACUCCACCAUGUUUCUUCUCUAGAUGGAGCUUGUCAAGCUCUCCUGACUUGCAUUGACAUCCAUGGCCUGUCACAAGGUCCCCUCAAUCAGGACAGGGUAAAAGCACAUUAGAAUCAUAGAAUACCAGGUUAGAAGGGACCUCAAGGAUCAUCUGGUCCAACCUUUCUUGGCAAAAGCACGGUCUAGACAAGGUGGACCAGCAGCACCCUGUCCAGCUGAAUGGGGAAUCCACCACUUCCUGGAAAGAUUAUUCUAAUGGCUGAUUCUUCUCUUCGUGAAAAUUUUUUCUCUUGUGUCCAAUGGGAAUCUCUCCCAGAGUAACUUGUACCAUUAGCCCUCAUCUUUUCUGUGUGACUCCUUGUAAAAAGGCAGCCUCCAUCUUCUUUAUAGACACUUGGUGAUAAGGUCUCCCCUAACCCUUCUUAUCUCAAGGCUGAACAAAUCCCAUUCUCUCGGCCUUUCCUCAUACAGCAAGCUUCCCAGUCCUUUGAUCACCUUGGUGGCUCUUCUCUGGACUCUCUCCAGUCUGCCCACAUCUUUUUUGUACAGGACAAAGCUGAACACACUAUUCCAGGUGUGGCCUGACAAGCCCUGAGCAUUUGGUCCAGGAACUGGCCUUCCUGUAGCAAAGAGCAUCAGGAUGGGUAUGGUCUUCCCUCCCAGGAUGUCUUCCAGCUCUAUGGAUGCUAUCAGCUGACACGUCUGGCUGGUAUCCUCUGCCAAAAAUACACACGCUCUCAACAUUUCUCAGGAGUUGGGUUUUUUUCCCCCUCUGUGACAUACUCAUGUCAAAUUUCUUCCUGGCUCUGUGAGACACAAGACUGUCCACACCUACCAGAUAAUGAGUUUAACAUUUCAAGGACAGAAGCUCUCAGUCUGAGCAAGACACAGGGUGGAUUUGCAGGCCUGAUUUGGGGUCAAGCCAGAGUUGGAAACCGUUCUGCUCCCUGGAUCCACCUCAGGGGUGUUCUGUCCUGGCCCUCCAUUGGUACAGUUAUCAGGCCAGCAUCAUUCCAGCAACCAGCACAGGGGAAAAACACGCACACACGCCGCCCUCUCUGCCCGUGGCAGCCAGAGCACCUUUCAGAUAUCCUACCUCACCUGCUGACACAAUCCAUCAGCACUCACCGAAAUCAAAUGCAGCUAAUUGGAAGGUGA
RNAcentral lists this long non-coding RNA (1533 nucleotides) under Calidris pygmaea (Spoon-billed sandpiper). RNAcentral describes it as "lncRNA (ENSCPGG00000013442.1)". The record is from RNAcentral. Lineage: Eukaryota; Metazoa; Chordata; Aves; Charadriiformes; Scolopacidae.